This 1446-nucleotide long non-coding RNA is filed under the name Salmo salar (Atlantic salmon). RNAcentral's name for it is "lncRNA (ENSSSAG00000088198.1)". Lineage: Eukaryota; Metazoa; Chordata; Actinopteri; Salmoniformes; Salmonidae. The record is from RNAcentral.
AAUCACAGCCGGAUGUGAUUCAGCCUGGAUUCGAACCAGGGACUGUAGUGACACCUCUUGCACUGAGAUGCAGUGCAUUAGACCGCUGCGCCACAGCCUUUAUAGAUGAUAUUGUAAAAAAUCUAUACUGGUAUGUGUAUCCAUAAUGCUGUACUAUAGAAGGUGAUAUAUCUAUACUGGUAUGUGUAUCCAUAAUGCUGUACUAUAGAAGGUGAUAUAUCUAUACUGGUAUGUGUAUCCAUAAUGCUGUACUAUAGAAGGUGAUAUAUCUAUACUGGUAUGUGGAUCUAUAAAGCUGUACUAUAGAAGGUGAUAUAUCUAUACUGGUAUGUGGAUCCAUAAUGCUGUACUAUAGAAGGUGAUAUAUCUAUACUGGUAUGUGGAUCCAUAAUGCUGUACUAUAGAAGGUGAUAUAUCUAUACUGGUAUGUGGAUCCAUAAUGCUGUACUAUAAAAGGUGAUAUAUCUAUACUGGUAUGUGUAUACAUAAUGCUGUACUAUAGAAGGUGAUAUAUCUAUACUGGUAUGUGGAUCUAUAAUGCUGUACUUUAGGAGAUGAUAAAUCUAUACUGUGUCAUGAUGUUGGCCUGUGGGUAAGGUUUAUGACCCUCCAUAAAUACCUUUCUCCCUUCCCCUCUCUCUCUGACUCUACUGAAGGACUCUCGAAUAGCCUUUGUUAAACAUAGAGAGCCUGGGAACAUCAAACAAGUGGGGGGAAAGGAACCAUAUUUCGGUAAUAGAACCAGUUGGAAAUAUGCGUUGGUACUUAAUGAAUAUGGAUGUCAGUUCGGUUGUCAUCUGAGACAUUAUGACUGAUGACAGGACGACAUAAACUGUACCUGAGAAAGUAUACACACUCUAGUUAUCAGAUUCACAUGGAAUUGUUGUGCAAUUUAAAUGUUUAAUAUUGAAAUUGUUUGUUAGAAGAUUAAAUGUAAUUUUAGCUUCCAAAUGAGAGAAUUGGGUUUUCAUAAGGAAAGAGCCCUGCUCAAUCAGUGGCCCGCCCGUGUGAAGAGACAUGGGUUAUACACUAUGAAACACACCCUUCUCCCUCUCCACUAUAUAAGCCCUUGACGAAAAUGUAACCUUGUGUUCCGGGUACGUGAGGUCUGCAGCCUCUACGUUAAAAAGGACUAACAUGUCAAGUACAGAACUAAGCCAACCUCAGCGUGAGCUUUGGUUGUGAAUGGUAUGAACUUUGAACUCUUAUUCACUACAGAAGUGAUACCUCCUAGCCGUUGAGUUAGCAGCGGCCGCUGUAAACGUGGGCUAGGAAAGGACGGACGACGUAUCCAGUCGAACACACAACGAAGAUACUACAACGUACCCAAUUUACCACCAGAGCCAUUCUUCCGAGGACAGGAAGAUCUCUGUUGGCCAACCCGGCCAGCAUCUACGACCAACCUACCGAAGCGCAGCUCAGAGUAAAUAUUUAUUGCAUUUUCCU